ACCCAGCACUUUCACAGGUCCGCCUCUGGUCGUGGGGUCGGGAUUUGGUAGCUGGUGCUGAGAGCAAAACCCUCGGGCACUUCCUCGCCCUGGCCUUGGGCCGGUGGCAAGAGUGAUCGAAGGGGACAGAG
RNAcentral lists this small nucleolar RNA (131 nucleotides) under Ornithorhynchus anatinus (platypus). RNAcentral describes it as "H/ACA-box snoRNA Oa1957". The record is from RNAcentral. Lineage: Eukaryota; Metazoa; Chordata; Mammalia; Monotremata; Ornithorhynchidae.